This 427-nucleotide long non-coding RNA is filed under the name Mytilus galloprovincialis (Mediterranean mussel). Lineage: Eukaryota; Metazoa; Mollusca; Bivalvia; Mytilida; Mytilidae. The record is from RNAcentral.
AGGACACAGAUGGAUUCAUGACAAAAUUGUGUUUUGGUGAUGGUGAUGUGUUUUUAGAUCUUACUUUACUUAACAUUCUUGCUGCUUACAAUUAUCUCUAUCUAUAAUGAACUUGGCCUAGUAGUUUCAGUGGUAAAUGUUAGUGAAAAUCUACAAAUUUUAUGAAAAUUGUUAAAAAUUGACUAUGAAGGGCAAUAACUCCUUAGGGGGUCAAUUGACAUUUUGGUUGUGUUGAUUUAUUUUUAGGUCUUACUUUGCUGCACAUUAUUGCUGUUUACAGUUUAUCUCUAUCUAUUAUAGUAUUCAAGGUAAUAACCAAAAACAGCAAAAUUUCCUUAAAAUUACCAAUUCAAGGGCAGCAACCUAACAAUUAGUUAUCCGAUUCAUCUGAAAAUUCCAGGGCAGAUAGAUCUUUACCUAAUAAACA